RNAcentral lists this long non-coding RNA (638 nucleotides) under Homo sapiens (human). RNAcentral describes it as "HSALNT0335932". Lineage: Eukaryota; Metazoa; Chordata; Mammalia; Primates; Hominidae. The record is from RNAcentral.
CCGCGCCCCCCGGCGGGCGGAGCCCGGCGCCGCGGCCAGGAUUUCCCACCUCGCUCCCGCGACUCCGCUGCGGGGGUACUUAACCGAAACUAGCAAUCCCAGGCGGUACAAGGCCCUCCAUCGUAGGCAAAGCACUACCUGAAUGUAGAUUUGGGCCAUACGUUGGAAAAUAAGACAUGAGAGUAUGCUCCGAUCAACUUUUACUGUUCACUGGACAACUAUUUUGGGAAUUUGCAGACCUAUAAAGCCCAUCUAUAAAUCUCAAGCAUGUCCACUUUCAGAGAAGAGAAAUGCUGACAACCAUUUAGUCUCUGAGGACAACACUUUUAAAGUGUAACAAUGUGGCAUCCAGAGCUUAUCCAGAUGAGCGGAGAGCAAAUGAAUUUCCUUCUGCUCCCCUGUUGAAGAGGAGAGAAAAAUUCUUCAAGCUCACCUGUUCUUCUCAUCGCUGGACCUAUAAAGUGGCAUUAAUCAUCAAGAGUCCAGCAGAAUUGGGAAAGUCAUGUAUGCUGCAAAGUACAUUCCAAAGUCUUAAAAUAUUCUUGUCUUAUCCACUGUUGUUUAUUUGUUUACUUAUUUUUAAACAAACAUCUGUUUGAAAGAGGGAGUGCUAACUGUGUGUUCUGGUAUCCCUUACC